GAACCCGGAAGUGAAACGCUGUAGCGCCGAUGGUAGUGCGGCGACAGGCCGUGUGAGAGUAGGUCGCUGCCAGGU
This 75-nucleotide ribosomal RNA is filed under the name Verrucomicrobiota bacterium. The record is from RNAcentral. Lineage: Bacteria; Pseudomonadati; Verrucomicrobiota.